This 107-nucleotide small nuclear RNA is filed under the name Delphinapterus leucas (beluga whale). The record is from RNAcentral. Lineage: Eukaryota; Metazoa; Chordata; Mammalia; Artiodactyla; Monodontidae.
GUGCUCGCUCCGGCAGCACAUAUACUAAAAUUGGAAUGAUACAGAGAAGAUUAGCAUGGCCCCUGCACAAGGAUGACACACAAAUUUGUGAAGCGUUCCAUAUUUUU